RNAcentral lists this unclassified non-coding RNA (344 nucleotides) under soil metagenome. RNAcentral describes it as "partial contains 5.8S ribosomal RNA, internal transcribed spacer 2, and large subunit ribosomal RNA". The stretch from base 1 to 120 matches the Rfam family "5.8S ribosomal RNA", at positions 35 to 154 of the family's 154-position model. The record is from RNAcentral.
GAUGAAGAACGUAGCGAAAUGCGAUAAGUAAUGUGAAUUGCAGAAUUCAGUGAAUCAUCGAGUCUUUGAACGCACAUUGCGCCCCCUGGUAUUCCGGGGGGCAUGCCUGUCCGAGCGUCAUUGCUGCCCUCAAGCACGGCUUGUGUGUUGGGCCUCCGUCCUCCUCCCGGGGGACGGGCCCGAAAGGCAGCGGCGGCACCGCGUCCGGUCCUCGAGCGUAUGGGGCUUCGUCACCCGCUCUUGUAGGCCCGGCCGGCGCUUGCCGACACAUCAAUCUUUUUCCAGGUUGACCUCGGAUCAGGUAGGGAUACCCGCUGAACUUAAGCAUAUCAAUAAGCGGAGGA